Molecule: ribosomal RNA, 460 nt
Filed under: uncultured bacterium
Lineage: Bacteria
Description: partial 16S ribosomal RNA
Rfam family: Bacterial small subunit ribosomal RNA
Source: RNAcentral
CCUACGGGAGGCUGCAGUGAGGAAUAUUGGUCAAUGGACGAGAGUCUGAACCAGCCAAGUAGCGUGAAGGAUGACUGCCCUAUGGGUUGUAAACUUCUUUUAUAUGGGAAUAAAAUGUUCCACGUGUGGGCUUUUGUAUGUACCCUAUGAAUAAGGUUCGGCUAACUCCGUGCCAGCAGCCGCGGUAAUACGGAGGAUCCGAUCGUUAUCCGGAUUUAUUGGGUUUAAAGGGAGCGUAGGUGGAUUGUUAAGUCAGUUGUGAAAGUUUGCGGCUCAACCGUAAAAUUGCAGUUGAAACUGGCAGUCUUGAGUACAGUAGAGGUGGGCGGAAUUCGUGGUGUAGCGGUGAAAUGCUUAGAUAUCACGAAGAACUCCGAUUGCGAAGGCAGCUCACUGGACUGCAACUGACACUGAGGCUCGAAAGUGUGGGUAUCAAACAGGAUUAGAUACCCUUGUAGUC